UGCAACGAAUCUACACAAUGAUACUACAGACGAGCAUGAGAAACUAUUCCAAAUAUCGGCGGGUAAUGAUACCCACCUCUCCAGGCGUGAUUCCUAGCAGCUUCGGUUGCCUCGUUACUCUGCCGAUCAGAUGUUCGGUAGCUAAAAUCAGAUGCUGCAUGGGUACAUAACAAACAACAAAGCAAAACUGCGGCAACAAUAAAAUAUUCGUUAACCGAUCACAUAGGCGUGCUGAUAUGCUUGAUAAGUAUGGCCAUACCCUUAACAAAAGUACUUACGGGUUUGAACUUACAGGGAGUAAUGUAGUUGCAGUCUAGCUUGCCUUGUUCCAGAUGGCCAUUCAGCCCACUAGAUGGCGUGGACCAGGCGACACCACUUUCUAAUACGGGGUGACGAUAAAAGCUGGUAGGCGGUGUACAAUUAACACCCACCGAUCGCAGGUAAACAAUCUUCAACAAUCA
Long non-coding RNA from Photinus pyralis (common eastern firefly), 461 nucleotides. RefSeq lists it as uncharacterized. NCBI's taxonomy places the organism in Eukaryota, Metazoa, Arthropoda, Insecta, Coleoptera, Lampyridae. The record is from RefSeq and is a predicted model, not a curated record. The transcript has 4 exons.